Molecule: long non-coding RNA, 740 nt
Filed under: Heterocephalus glaber (naked mole-rat)
Lineage: Eukaryota; Metazoa; Chordata; Mammalia; Rodentia; Bathyergidae
Description: lncRNA (ENSHGLG00000044194.1)
Source: RNAcentral
GCAAGCAUUCCGGGCUGGGUUAUCACAGUGCAAGAUUCAUUCUGUGACCUCUGGCGGGCAAUGCUGUGGAGUCAGCAGCUGUUGUCACCAACCUCCUCCUCAGUUGCCCAGCAGGUGAGGAGCCUCCUACCAUGACCUUGGCCUCCUCCCCUGGGCAGGUUGAGGCCUGAGCACCUGUGGGCCUCACCUUCCUGCCAAGCUGAUUCUAGGCCUCACCAGUCCCAGGCUUCACCUUCCCACCAAGCCCACCCCAGCUGCACAAAUUCCAGGCCUCACCUUCCCACCAAGCCUGCCCUAGGCGUCCCUUAUGCUGAGCAGAAGGAGUGUGAGGUGCAGCAGGUGGAGAGAGAAGUCCCAGCCCCAGCCGGAGCAGGGGAGGAGCGCCCAGCACCGGGUGCUGGCAGUGGGGAUGGCCCCGACCAGAACACUUGCCACCGGCGUGCCAUCUUGGCGGCAGGGCCAGCGGACUCUACCGUUUUCCUGCUGAGAGUGAUAGGGCUCCCUGAUGAGCAUGGUAACCAGCCUCAUCAUUACUGGCCCUUCGCCACCAGUGACCUUUACAACUGGCAUACUCAACACACCAAAUUCUCUGAUAACCCUAGAGAUUUAAUUAACCUAUUAGAAACUGUUCUGUUUACUCAUCAGCCCACUUGAGAUGACUGUCAACAACUUCUUCAGAUCCUGUUUACCACAGAGGAACGAGAGAGAAUCCAAAAUGAAGCCAAUAAAUUGGUUCCUGG